Molecule: ribosomal RNA, 440 nt
Filed under: uncultured bacterium
Lineage: Bacteria
Description: partial 16S ribosomal RNA
Rfam family: Bacterial small subunit ribosomal RNA
Source: RNAcentral
CCUACGGGUGGCAGCAGUGGGGGAUAUUGCACAAUGGGGGGAACCCUGAUGCAGCGACGCCGCGUGGGUGAAGGAGCGUUUCGGCGCGUAAAGCCCUAUCGGCAGGGAAGAAGAUGACGGUACCUGGCCAAGAAGCCCCGGCUAACUACGUGCCAGCAGCCGCGGUAAUACGUAGGGGGCAAGCGUUAUCCGGAUUUACUUGGUGUAAAGGGGGCGCAGACGGCAAUGCAAGCCAGGAGUGAAAGCCCGGGGCCCAACCCCGGGACUGCUCUUGGAACUGCAUGGCUGGAGUACAGGAGGGUCAGGCGGAAUUCCUAGUGUAGCGGUGGAAUGCGUAGAUAUUAGGAGGAACACCAGUGGCGAAGGCGAUUUGCUGGACUGUAACUGACACUGAGGCACGAAAGCGUGGGGAGCAAACAGGAUUAGAUACCCUGGUAGUC